RNAcentral lists this ribosomal RNA (492 nucleotides) under uncultured bacterium. RNAcentral's name for it is "partial 16S ribosomal RNA". It matches the Rfam family "Bacterial small subunit ribosomal RNA", at positions 29 to 507 of the family's 1533-position model. The record is from RNAcentral.
AGUGAACGCUGGCGGUAGGCCUAACACAUGCAAGUCGAACGGCAGCACAGUAAGAGCCUGCUCUUACGGGUGGCGAGUGGCGGACGGGUGAGGAAUACAUCGGAAUCUACUUUUUCGUGGGGGAUAACGUAGGGAAACUUACGCUAAUACCGCAUACGACCUACGGGUGAAAGCAGGGGAUCUUCGGACCUUGCGCGAUUGAAUGAGCCGAUGUCGGAUUAGCUAGUUGGCGGGGUAAAGGCCCACCAAGGCGACGAUCCGUAGCUGGUCUGAGAGGAUGAUCAGCCACACUGGAACUGAGACACGGUCCAGACUCCUACGGGAGGCAGCAGUGGGGAAUAUUGGACAAUGGGCGCAAGCCUGAUCCAGCCAUACCGCGUGGGUGAAGAAGGCCUUCGGGUUGUAAAGCCCUUUUGUUGGGAAAGAAAAGCAGCAGGUUAAUACCCCGCUGUUCUGACGGUACCAAAAGAAUAAGCACCGGCUAACUUCGUG